Non-coding RNA from Pelobates cultripes (western spadefoot toad), 678 nucleotides. The record is from the annotation of a GenBank genome assembly. NCBI's taxonomy places the organism in Eukaryota, Metazoa, Chordata, Amphibia, Anura, Pelobatidae.
CAGGGUUUAUAUGGUGUUUGGAGAUUAAACUGGACGCCUUUGAGAACACUUGGAGGAAAAAAUGUUUGUUUGUUUUUUACGAAAAAACAGUUUUAAAUAUGGCGUGACAAGACUCUCUUUCAAGUCUUACUAGCUUUCUUUUCUAAAACACCUUUGUAGGUGUACAUUAGUCUGGUAACUAUUGUUCCAGCUAAUUAGUAGGACCCUACUAGUUUCUUGUAUUAAAUACUUAUAGGUCCUUCACGUACCUUAUGCUUCAGACAUUCAGUAGACUAGAGUGUAAAGAAAUCACAUAUAGGACUACGGUUACUUUUAAUUGAUUCUGGAAGAACUGGUGCUAGCUGUUCUGUUUUAAUGGGCUUGGAUAUCAUUAGUUGUACAUUGCAGGGUUGUACAUUGCAGGCUUGUUAUGUGACUGUUUUAUCACAUUAUGAGGUACUUGUUUAUUGUCCAAUAAAACAAAGUGGGCAGAUGUCCCAACAAUAUACCACUCACGUACCCUCUGAGAAUGGCUGUGCUGGGUCCAGGGGCAGGAGGUAAGUAUAAAACAGCUCUCACAGCAAUCAAAUAUAUAAUUUAUAUAUAUAAUUUAUCUUAAAGCUGUUAUACACAUAUUUGACAAGUAAAAAACAGAUAUUAGUGCAUAAGCCAACGGCACUCACGCACCGGUUAACUCCG